GGAAGUAAAAGUCAUAACAAGGUCUCCGUUGGUGAACCAGCGGAGGGAUCAUUACAGAGUUGCAAAACUCCCAAACCAUUGUGAACGUUACCUCUCCCGUUGCUUCGGCGGGCGGCCCGGGCCCCGCGCCCGGCGCCCCCCGGCCCCCCGUGGGCGCCCGCCGGAGGUAAACCAAACCCCUGAAUUGCAUGGCCUCUCUGAGUCUUCUGUACUGAAUAAGUCAAAACUUUCAACAACGGAUCUCUUGGUUCUG
Molecule: unclassified non-coding RNA, 253 nt
Filed under: plant metagenome
Description: partial contains small subunit ribosomal RNA, internal transcribed spacer 1, and 5.8S ribosomal RNA
Rfam family: Eukaryotic small subunit ribosomal RNA (bases 1-54)
Source: RNAcentral